CGUCUUUCAAAGGUAUUGUUCUAAAUUAAAAAUUUCUCAUAAUUCUUUAAUUUAAUUUAAAAAAAUUUAUUUUUCUAGUUUUAAAUAUUUAAAUUAGUUUACAAUUACUUAGUACAAAAAUUUACUAACUUAAACUUAAUAAAUGUUUUUCAGUUCUGGUCACAUUUUCUAUUCAUUUUACAAGUAGUGAUUUUGCCACUACUAUUUCAAUGGUUAGGAUCGUUUUUCUGCGAUGAAAAUGUACAACCAAAUUUAUUUAUUAAAGCUCUUUAUGCAUGUCUUCACAGGCCAAUUUUUGCCUUUAGUGUCUGCUCUAUUCUUCUUUUAAUUACAAUUGGCCAAGGCUUGGAUUUUUAUUACAAAUUAUUAACACCCAGAUGGAUUCAACCAUUCUCCAAACUUUCUUAUGCAACAUUUCUCUGUCAUUUUGCAAUUCAAUCUUAUGAAUUUGGAACUGCAAGAACAGUAUACACUUAUUCGUCUUAUAAUUCGAUUAAACAUUUUAUUGGAGAUAUUAUCUACAUAUCAUUUGUAGCAUUACUAUUGGUGAUAAUAAUAGAAAAACCAUUCACGAAUCUCGAAAAAUUACUUUUAGAAGGCAAGAAAGAAAUCAGGUC
Molecule: long non-coding RNA, 617 nt
Organism: Leptopilina heterotoma
Lineage: Eukaryota; Metazoa; Arthropoda; Insecta; Hymenoptera; Figitidae
Exons: 3
Source: RefSeq, a predicted model, not a curated record